UUAGAUAUACUGCAGUGUGUUCUAUAUUCUCAGCAUUUCUGAGGCUAUGCAAAGCCACCCAAACUUCUGAAAUAUGUACCUUGUAUUUCUUACUUGAGAAACUUUUAGUUUCUAUGCAUUGGAAAAAAAAAAAAAAGCUCUAUAGCAGACUUUCCUCCUGAAGCGUGAAGAAGGAAUAAACGAGGAGUAGAGAUUUUUGCCUCCUUUUUCAUUUAUGUAAAUAAACGUAUGAAAUGGAUUUUUAAUUUAUACAUUAGUUAUCUUGGUCCCAAAGCAUAACUCUUUUAACACCUUGAGCUUCCUUAUGUUGGAGGGGGAAAAAGAGUGCAAAAUCAUUAGAGACAUGAUUAUGCUUUAAUUUAGGUCUUUGAGUUAUGUAAGCAGAAUGCAAUUAAAGAAGAAGUGCUCACUAUGACUACCUAUUUCAAAUAGGCUUUCAAUUUUUCAGUUUUAUGUGUAUCUUCUGCAAUUGCAUAAAACUUCCUCAAGGCUAUGACAGUGGAUUAUGGCUGUGUUCUUGUAAUUAUUUUCAGCUUAAAAAAAAGAACAACUUUGCUGCAUAAACUAUUGAGUUAAACAUAUUACACGUCUAGUUUUUACUGGGAUUGUGUAAGAUUUUACACCAGCCAUGAGAUUCUCUGCAUUCAUAGGUUUAGAAGGAAAAUGUGAGUAUUUAUGGCAUCAUGAUUGUCACUGUCACUAUCAUCCUCUCAUUGUCGUCAUCACCAUGAAAAUCAGAUCCACAAGUGUUAUCUUGCUUAAUUAUUGCAGCAACUCUGUGAUCUUUAUUAUUGCCAUUUUCCAGAUAAGGAAACCGAGACUUUGAAACAUUAAGUAACUUGCAUAAAGUCAGACAGCUAGGAAGCAUAGUAUCUGAAAUAGGAAACCAUUGCUCACUUUGGCAGCACAUAUACUAACAUUGGAAUGAUACAGAGAAGAUUAGCGUGACCCCUGCACAACGAUGACAUGGGAAUUUGUGAAGCGUUUCAUAUUUUUAGUAAAAGUAGAAAUACCUGUUGAUCCAUUAUCUACCAAAAGGAAAAGAAGUCAUUAUAUGAAAAAGACACUUGCACAUGCAUGUUUAUAGCAGCACAAUUCACAAUUUCAGAAAUAUGGAACCAGCCGAAAUGCCCAUCAGUGAAUAAGUGGAUAAAGAAACUAUGGUGUGUGCAUACACACACAAACACAUGCUACUCAGCCAUAAAAAGGAAUGAAAUAGGUCAGGCAAAGUGGUUCACACUUGUAAUCCCAGCACUUCGGGAGGCUGAGGCAGGUGGAUAAUCUGAGGUCAGGAGUUUUGAGACCAGCCUGGCCAACAUGAUGAAACUGCAUCUCCACUAAAAAUACAAAAUUAGCCAGGCAUAUUGGCAGGUGCCUGUAGUCCCAGCUACUUAGGAGGCUGAGGCAGGAGAACUGCUUGAAUCCAGGAGAUGGAGGUUGCAGUUAGUGGAAGAUCAUGCCACUGCACUCCAGGCUGGGCGACAGAGCAAGACUCCAUCUAAAAAAAAAAAAAAAAAAAAAAAAAAAAAUGAAAUAAUGGCAUUCGCAACAACCUGGAUGGAGUGAGAGGCCGUUAUUGUAAGUGAAGUAACUCAGGAAUGGAAACCAAACAUCUCAUGGCUUAUCUCCCACUUACAAUGGUUUUCCAUUCCCGAGUUCCUUAACAUUGUGUUAAUAUACUAACAUAUUCUCGCUUAUAAGUGGGAGCUAAGCUAUAAGGACACAAAAGCAUAAAAAAUGACAUAAUGUACUCUUGGGACUUGAGGGGAAGGGUGGGAGGUGGGUGAGGGAUAAAAGACUACAUACUGAUUGGGUGAUGGGUGCAUCAAAAUCUCAGAAAUGACACCCAAUGAACUUACCCAUGUAAGGAACAUUACCUGUUCCCACAAAACUAUUGAAAUAAUAAUAAAAGAAAAACAUUGUUGAAAAGAUAAAAUUAGAAACCAAGAAGCUUGGCUUCAUAAC
Molecule: long non-coding RNA, 1965 nt
Filed under: Homo sapiens (human)
Lineage: Eukaryota; Metazoa; Chordata; Mammalia; Primates; Hominidae
Source: RNAcentral